GACAGGUGGUGCAUGGUUGUCGUCAGCUCGUGUCGUGAGAUGUUGGGUUAAGUCCCGCAACGAGCGCAACCCUUAUCCUCAGUAGCCAGCAGUAAGAUGGGCACUCUGUGGAGACUGCCAGGGAUAACCUGGAGGAAGGUGGGGAUGACGUCAAAUCAUCAUGCCCCUUAUGAUUUGGGCUACACACGUGCUACAAUGGCGUAAACAAAGAGAAGCGAGCCCGCGAGGGGGAGCAAAUCUCAAAAAUAACGUCUCAGUUCGGAUUGCAGGCUGCAACUCGCCUGCAUGAAGCUGGAAUCGCUAGUAAUCGCGGAUCAGAAUGCCGCGGUGAAUACGUUCCCGGGUCUUGUACACACCGCCCGUCACACCAUGGGAGUCGAUAACGCCCGAAGUCAGUGACCCAACCGUAAGGAGGGAGCUGCCGAAGGCGGGAUUGAUAACUGGGGUGAAGUCGUAACAAGGUAGCCGUAUCGGAAGGUGCGGCUGGAUCACCUCCUUUCUA
This 502-nucleotide ribosomal RNA is filed under the name Clostridium sp. AM33-3. RNAcentral describes it as "bacterial SSU rRNA". It matches the Rfam family "Bacterial small subunit ribosomal RNA", at positions 1033 to 1533 of the family's 1533-position model. The record is from RNAcentral. Lineage: Bacteria; Bacillati; Bacillota; Clostridia; Eubacteriales; Clostridiaceae.